Molecule: long non-coding RNA, 120 nt
Organism: Coccinella septempunctata (seven-spotted ladybird)
Lineage: Eukaryota; Metazoa; Arthropoda; Insecta; Coleoptera; Coccinellidae
Exons: 2
Source: RefSeq, a predicted model, not a curated record
AUUACCAUAGUAAAAGAAUCGAAUCGAAUAACCAUAACGAGAAAACCUCACAUUCUGCUCCUGAGGAAGGAAUGAACACAUUCCGAAAGCUCGAGUAUAAAGAAUAAAGAGUGAUCCAUU